Molecule: ribosomal RNA, 254 nt
Filed under: uncultured bacterium
Lineage: Bacteria
Description: partial 16S ribosomal RNA
Rfam family: Bacterial small subunit ribosomal RNA
Source: RNAcentral
UACGUAGGGGGCAAGCGUUGUCCGGAUUUAUUGGGCGUAAAGAGCUCGUAGGCGGUUCGACAAGUCGGAUGUGAAAUCUCCACGCUCAACGUGGAGGGGCCAUUCGAAACUGUCGUGACUUGAGUCCGGUAGGGGAGUGUGGAAUUCCCGGUGUAGCGGUGAAAUGCGCAGAGAUCGGGAGGAACACCCGUAGCGAAGGCGGCACUCUGGGCCGUGACUGACGCUGAGGAGCGAAAGCGUGGGGAGCGAACAGG